GCGCCCGUAGCUCAGUAGGAUAGAGCGGCGGUUUCCUAAACCGCAGGCCGCAGGUUCGAAUCCUGCCGGGCGCAUCA
Molecule: transfer RNA, 77 nt
Filed under: Planctomycetes bacterium SCN 63-9
Lineage: Bacteria; Pseudomonadati; Planctomycetota
Description: tRNA-Arg
Rfam family: tRNA
About the family: Transfer RNA (tRNA) molecules are approximately 80 nucleotides in length. Their secondary structure includes four short double-helical elements and three loops (D, anti-codon, and T loops). Further hydrogen bonds mediate the characteristic L-shaped molecular structure. tRNAs have two regions of fundamental functional importance: the anti-codon, which is responsible for specific mRNA codon recognition, and the 3' end, to which the tRNAs corresponding amino acid is attached (by aminoacyl-tRNA synthetases). tRNAs cope with the degeneracy of the genetic code in two manners: having more than one tRNA (with a specific anti-codon) for a particular amino acid; and 'wobble' base-pairing, i.e. permitting non-standard base-pairing at the 3rd anti-codon position.
Source: RNAcentral